This 253-nucleotide ribosomal RNA is filed under the name uncultured bacterium. RNAcentral's name for it is "partial 16S ribosomal RNA". It matches the Rfam family "Bacterial small subunit ribosomal RNA", at positions 524 to 776 of the family's 1533-position model. The record is from RNAcentral.
UACGUAGGGGACGAGCGUUGUCCGGAAUUAUUGGGCGUAAAGAGCUCGUAGGCGGUCUGUCGCGUCGGCUGUGAAAACCCGGGGCUCAACCCCGGGCCUGCAGUCGAUACGGGCAGACUAGAGUGCGGUAGGGGAGACUGGAAUUCCUGGUGUAGCGGUGAAAUGCGCAGAUAUCAGGAGGAACACCGGUGGCGAAGGCGGGUCUCUGGGCCGUAACUGACGCUGAGACGCGAAAGCGUGGGGAGCGAACAGG